This 466-nucleotide ribosomal RNA is filed under the name uncultured bacterium. RNAcentral describes it as "partial 16S ribosomal RNA". It matches the Rfam family "Bacterial small subunit ribosomal RNA", at positions 28 to 507 of the family's 1533-position model. The record is from RNAcentral.
GACGAACGCUGGCGGCGCGCCUAACACAUGCCAGUCGAACGAGCGAGCGGAGGUUUCCUUUCUCAAGCGAGUGGCGAACGGGUGAGUAACGCGUGAGUAACCUGCCUCAAAGAGGGGGACAACAUUUGGAAACGACUGCUAAUACCGCAUAAGCCCACGACCCGGCAUCGGGUCGAGGGAAAAGGGGCAAUCCGCUUUGAGAUGGCCUCGCGUCCGAUUAGCUAGUUGGUGAGGUAAUGGCCCACCAAGGCGACGAUCGGUAGCCGGAAAGAGAGGUUGAACGGACACAAUGGGAGUGAGAAACGGAACAGAAUACUACGGGAGGCAGGAGUGGGGAAUAGUGCAAAAUGGGGGAAAACAUGAUGAAGCGACGACGGGAGGAGGAAGAAGGUAUGCGGAUUGUAAAAUACUGUUGUUGAGGAAGAUAAUGACGGUACUAAAAAAGGAAGUGACGGCUAACUACGUG